GCCACCCUAGCUCAGCUGGUAGAGCAAUUGAUUUGUAAUCAAUAGGUCGGGGGUUCGAGUCCCCUGGGUGGCUCCA
Molecule: transfer RNA, 76 nt
Filed under: Gemmatimonadota bacterium
Lineage: Bacteria; Pseudomonadati; Gemmatimonadota
Description: Gemmatimonadetes bacterium tRNA-Thr
Rfam family: tRNA
About the family: Transfer RNA (tRNA) molecules are approximately 80 nucleotides in length. Their secondary structure includes four short double-helical elements and three loops (D, anti-codon, and T loops). Further hydrogen bonds mediate the characteristic L-shaped molecular structure. tRNAs have two regions of fundamental functional importance: the anti-codon, which is responsible for specific mRNA codon recognition, and the 3' end, to which the tRNAs corresponding amino acid is attached (by aminoacyl-tRNA synthetases). tRNAs cope with the degeneracy of the genetic code in two manners: having more than one tRNA (with a specific anti-codon) for a particular amino acid; and 'wobble' base-pairing, i.e. permitting non-standard base-pairing at the 3rd anti-codon position.
Source: RNAcentral